RNAcentral lists this signal recognition particle RNA (97 nucleotides) under Pseudobdellovibrionaceae bacterium. Its description in RNAcentral is "Bdellovibrionaceae bacterium signal recognition particle sRNA small type". It matches the Rfam family "Bacterial small signal recognition particle RNA". From Rfam's summary of the family: The signal recognition particle (SRP) is a universally conserved ribonucleoprotein involved in the co-translational targeting of proteins to membranes. Archaeal SRP consists of a 7S RNA and homologues of the eukaryotic SRP19 and SRP54 proteins. In most bacteria, the SRP consists of a 4.5S RNA and the Ffh protein (a homologue of the eukaryotic SRP54 protein). Lineage: Bacteria; Pseudomonadati; Bdellovibrionota; Bdellovibrionia; Bdellovibrionales; Pseudobdellovibrionaceae. The record is from RNAcentral.
AGCUAGAUCCUGAGUGAUGCUGCUCUGUGAACCCCGCCAGGACCGGAAGGUAGCAACGGUAGCAGAUGUUAGUAGGUGCUCAGGUAAUCUAGCUAUC